UACGUAGGGGGCGAGCGUUGUCCGGAUUUAUUGGGCGUAAAGGGUUUGUAGGUGGCUUGCUAAGUCAGACGUGAAAUCCCUCAGCUUAACUGGGGAACUGCGUCUGAGACUGGCAAGCUUGAGUGCAGGAGAGGAACGCGGAAUUCCAGGUGUAGCGGUGAAAUGCGUAGAUAUCUGGAGGAACACCGGUGGCGAAGGCGGCGUUCUGGACUGCAACUGACACUGAGGAACGAAAGCCAGGGGAGCAAACGGG
Molecule: ribosomal RNA, 253 nt
Filed under: uncultured bacterium
Lineage: Bacteria
Description: partial 16S ribosomal RNA
Rfam family: Bacterial small subunit ribosomal RNA
Source: RNAcentral